Molecule: non-coding RNA, 20 nt
Filed under: Mus musculus (house mouse)
Lineage: Eukaryota; Metazoa; Chordata; Mammalia; Rodentia; Muridae
Source: RNAcentral
CUUUGAGAUGCUGAUAUUCU